CCAGACUCCUACGGGAGGCAGCAGUCGAGAAUCAUUCACAAUGGGGGGAACCCUGAUGGUGCGACGCCGCGUGGGGGAAUGAAGGUCUUCGGAUUGUAAACCCCUGUCAUGUGGGAGCAAAUUAAAAAGAUAGUACCACAAGAGGAAGAGACGGCUAACUCCGUGCCAGCAGCCGCGGUAAUACGGAGGAUGCGAGCGUUAUCCGGAUUUAUUGGGUUUAAAGGGUGCGUAGGCGGCGCUUCAGGUCAGCGGUGAAAUACCGGGGCUCAACCCCGGGGCUGCCGUUGAAACCGGAGCGCUAGAAUUCCGAUGCCGUCGGAGGAAUGCGUGGUGUAGCGGUGAAAUGCAUAGAUAUCACACAGAACACCGAUUGCGAAGGCAUCUGACGAAUCGGAGAUUGACGCUGAUGCACGAAAGCGUGGGUAUCGAACAGGAUUAGAUACCCUCGUAAC
Molecule: ribosomal RNA, 452 nt
Filed under: uncultured bacterium
Lineage: Bacteria
Description: bacterial SSU rRNA
Rfam family: Bacterial small subunit ribosomal RNA
Source: RNAcentral